RNAcentral lists this ribosomal RNA (398 nucleotides) under uncultured bacterium. RNAcentral's name for it is "bacterial SSU rRNA". It matches the Rfam family "Bacterial small subunit ribosomal RNA", at positions 362 to 758 of the family's 1533-position model. The record is from RNAcentral.
UAUUGGUCAAUGGACGCAAGUCUGAACCAGCCAUGCCGCGUGAAGGAUUAAGGUCCUCUGGAUUGUAAACUUCUUUUAUCUGGGACGAAAAAAGGGCAUUCUUGCUCACUUGACGGUACCAGAUGAAUAAGCACCGGCUAACUCCGUGCCAGCAGCCGCGGUAAUACGGAGGGUGCAAGCGUUAUCCGGAUUCACUGGGUUUAAAGGGUGCGUAGGCGGGCAGUUAAGUCAGUGGUGAAAUCCUUGAGCUCAACUCGAGAACUGCCAUUGAUACUAUCUGUCUUGAAUAUUGUGGAGGUAAGCGGAAUAUGUCAUGUAGCGGUGAAAUGCUUAGAUAUGACAUAGAACACCUAUUGCGAAGGCAGCUUACUACGCAUAUAUGACGCUGAGGCACGAAA